RNAcentral lists this ribosomal RNA (205 nucleotides) under uncultured bacterium. Its description in RNAcentral is "partial 16S ribosomal RNA". It matches the Rfam family "Bacterial small subunit ribosomal RNA", at positions 1298 to 1500 of the family's 1533-position model. The record is from RNAcentral.
UUGCAGGCUGCAACUCGCCUGCAUGAAGUUGGAAUUGCUAGUAAUCGCGAAUCAGAAUGUCGCGGUGAAUACGUUCCCGGGUCUUGUACACACCGCCCGUCACACCAUGGGAGUCAGUAACGCCCGAAGCCGGUGACCCAACCUAUUCUGGAGGGAGCCGUCGAAGGCGGGACGGAUGACUGGGGUGAAGUCGUAACAAGGUAGC